ACAGAUCCUAUGUAAGGACCUGUGGCACAAUCCCCUGCAAUACUACAAGAGGAUGAAGCCACCUGAAGAGGGAACAGAGAUUUCAGGGGACUUCUGGAUUUUGAGAUGAAUAUGAUGGAGCAUCAGGCUUUACCUGAAACAG
RNAcentral lists this long non-coding RNA (142 nucleotides) under Homo sapiens (human). RNAcentral describes it as "novel transcript". The record is from RNAcentral. Lineage: Eukaryota; Metazoa; Chordata; Mammalia; Primates; Hominidae.